AUGGCGUCCAUGAUGGGAGGAGACUUCGUGGAGGCCUACGUGCUCAAGAACGCCUACAAGGAGAAGAUGAAGCGCAUGGACCAAGUGGAAGCUGCGAGCGGCAAGGACAAGGAGGCUGCCGGCGCCGCUGGAGAGAAGAAGGCUGCUGGUGGUGGUGGUGCGAGCAGCAGGGGAGGCUUCUUUGGCCUCAUGAAGAAGAAGGUGCACCCCAAACCCAAAGCGGCGGCGGCGCCCACUUCCUCUUGA
RNAcentral lists this ribosomal RNA (246 nucleotides) under Triticum aestivum (bread wheat). RNAcentral describes it as "partial small subunit ribosomal RNA". The record is from RNAcentral. Lineage: Eukaryota; Viridiplantae; Streptophyta; Magnoliopsida; Poales; Poaceae.